This 328-nucleotide ribosomal RNA is filed under the name uncultured eukaryote. RNAcentral's name for it is "partial 18S ribosomal RNA". It matches the Rfam family "Eukaryotic small subunit ribosomal RNA", at positions 1470 to 1796 of the family's 1831-position model. The record is from RNAcentral.
CCCUUAGAUGUUCUGGGCUGCACGCGCGCUACACUGACGCACGCAACAGGUGCCUGCUCCGAGAGGACUGGGUAAUCAUUUGAGUGUGCGUCGUGAUGGGGAUAGAAUAUUGUAAUUAUUACUCUUCAACGAGGAAUUCCUAGUAAGCGCAAGUCAUCAACUUGCGUUGAUUACGUCCCUGCCCUUUGUACACACCGCCCGUCGCUACUGCCAACUGAGAUGGGUCCUGAAUUGUUAGGAACGCCCGUCAAGGGGCCUACCCGGUCCCUAGUGCGGUGACGAGAAUAACUGUAAAUGGCAUAUCUUGGAGGGAGUAAAAGUCGUAACA